GUUCUAGACCAGCAAAGAGAGGGAGCCAGUUCUCUCGAAACACAAAAAACUGGUUCUCAAUUGAGCACCGGCCACAAACCAGCCCUGAAACCGUGGAAAAGGUGUAUAUAGAAAAGAAGAUGAGGAGGAAAACAGCACAGAACAGUGAGGGAUGUGAAAACACACAAGGUGCUAAGUGAAAGAGACAUCACCAAAAUGAAAGAAAACAUGGAGGAACCACAAACCUCAACAGUCUUUGGCAGUGUAACAGGACUGGUUGAGUGAAAUAUAAAUGCAAACUGACAUUAAAAGUUACGAGAAAGAGGACUUUAAACAGGCGCUGCUGUUAUUUUCUACAUCUGUAAUACAUGUCAACAGAAAAACACUGAUGUUUUGACUUCAUCAUGAAUAAAAAUAUUAAGUUUAACAUUGAUUCCACCUGCAAGUAGUAGUAUUUAAGAAUACUUUUGCCAUUGAGGUGCUACCAGCCAUCAAAUCUGAGGGGCUGUAUUUCCAGUUCAAUAAAUAAAUAAAUGAGUAAUUUUUGAACCAAUAAAAUCAUCUGCUUUGUUUCAAGG
Long non-coding RNA from Notolabrus celidotus (New Zealand spotty), 557 nucleotides. RefSeq lists it as uncharacterized. NCBI's taxonomy places the organism in Eukaryota, Metazoa, Chordata, Actinopteri, Labriformes, Labridae. The transcript is spliced from 2 exons. The record is from RefSeq and is a predicted model, not a curated record.